RNAcentral lists this ribosomal RNA (691 nucleotides) under uncultured bacterium. RNAcentral's name for it is "bacterial SSU rRNA". It matches the Rfam family "Bacterial small subunit ribosomal RNA", at positions 62 to 788 of the family's 1533-position model. The record is from RNAcentral.
UCGACGGGACUUUUGCCUUCGGGUAAAAGUUUAGUGGCGAACGGGUUAGUAACACGUGGGAAUAUACCUUAUAGUGGGGGAUAACUGUUGGAAACGACAGCUAAUACCGCAUACGCUCUACGGAGGAAAGAUUUAUCGCUAUAAGAUUAGCCCGCGCUAGAUUAGCUAGUUGGUGAGGUAAUGGCUCACCAAGGCUACGAUCUAUAGCUGGUUUGAGAGGAUGACCAGCAACACUGGAACUGAGACACGGUCCAGACUCCUACGGGAGGCAGCAGUGGGGAAUAUUGCACAAUGGGGGAAACCCUGAUGCAGCCAUGCCGCGUGAGUGAUGAAGGCCUUAGGGUUGUAAAGCUCUUUCAGAUGCGAGGAUGAUGACGUUAACAUCAGAAGAAGCCCCGGCUAACUUCGUGCCAGCAGCCGCGGUAAUACGAAGGGGGCAAGCGUUGUUCGGAAUUACUGGGCGUAAAGCGUACGCAGGCGGACUUUUAAGUUAGAGGUGAAAUCCUAGGGCUCAACCCUAGAACUGCCUUUAAGACUGGAAGUCUAGAGUGUGUGAGGGGAUAGUGGAAUACCUAGUGUAGAGGUGGAAUUCGUAGAUAUUAGGUGGAACACCAGUGGCGAAGGCGACUAUCUGGCACACAACUGACGCUCAUGUACGAAAGCGUGGGGAGCAAACAGGAUUAGAUACCCU